UCGGCCCUGACUGGAACUUUCGGCCGGGGCGCGCCCCCCGCGGGCAGGGGCUGAGGCGCGGCCGCUGCGAGCGGCUCCCACCUGUGCUGGAGCCCCGGCACCUGGGGGCUACUUGUACUUAUUGGCUUCGUUUUUAAAUAAAUAAAUAAAUAAAAGCAAUACCGGGACGCGAUGAACGCGCCGUGGCCCAAAGCAAUCUGCGAAUUGACAUGAGCUUGAAAAAAGCUUGCUGCUGUUUGUGUAAUUUUGCGAAAGCUUUAUCUGUUGAUCCCGUAACAAACACGGCGCUGCUUGGCAUUUACGUUUGUAUACACACAGCAGUCUGUCAGAAAACGCCACCAAACAGGCUACUGAGCUGAGACCUCCGAUGUGAAACUGUAGCCUACAGUUAAUUUUUUUAUAAGUACAACUCCCUGACAAGCAUCAGUGUUGACCUCAGAAACGCUGACGAAGCCUGAGCAAUAGGUACCUGAGCAGUGUCAACGCAAUGAGAGAAAUAUGUUGCAAGUUUGUGCUGCAGGUGCUCUGUCCCUGCCAAGAACAUUUUAUCCUGUUAUCAUACCUAAUUAAACAUUAAAAGCAACUGUGUACUCGAAAAUGUCCCCAGCUGUGGAGGGCAAUUGAUUGGCAAUCUGUUUGUUUGUGUGUGCAAAAAAAAUAAUAAUAAAAGAAAGAAAUCUAGCAAACCAUCUAAAUGUGCAAAACCAGCCCUGAAAAGCAAACCUGUUAGACAUGGAAGAGGCUGUUCACUGUUGAUGUGAACAUAUGUGUACAUCAGCAACCCAUCUUGGGAGUCAACCACUUUUCUGCUACGUUUUCACAUCUCCAGCAGUCUCAUUACACUUUCUGCUGGUGUCACCACAUGUUUCCAGAGGUUACUUUCCAGAAGUAACAUCUCACCUCUGGUAUGCAGGUCCGCGACCGCUGAAAGCACCUCUUACUGUAGCACAUCCCGGUGUGUACCGCCGCGGUUCCAAACAACAUGCAGCGCAGGCCCUGGGCGAUGGCAGCAGAAGCCUCCUGGCGAAGGUGCCAUGGCGCUGACCUGGAUCACAGCAGCAUUUCAAUUCCCCGCUCCAUUCAAGCCUUGUGCUUUCUGGUGAAGCUGAGGCUCCUUCUGCAGCACGCACAGAAAUCCCAAUUAACUUGAGUGCUGAGCCAGGAACUCCUGCACAAAGUUCACUAAGGGCAGUGGGCAUCUCACAGGCUGCUGCCUUCAAGCACGCGGGUGCUGAGCUCCUCCGUUUCUGGUUCCUGGGGCCUUUGCUAGGAUGAUCUGUCCUCUGACUGGCUCUGGAUUACUCACUGACAGUUUUUAUUAGGUUGUCUUCUUGUGAAUCCAGGAGAGGCUUGUGGACAACCUGGGAACUUAGGCCAUCAGAGCACCUACAGAAAAGCUAAUUUAUUGUAUUUCAUGUUUGUUUGUUUUUUAACUUCUUAACGGUAGGUAACUCUAUUAUUAAUCAAACAGGGUGUGGAGAGCAUAUCCUGAGGGGCUCUGCCUGUGUGCUUGCACAAGGAAGGAUUCUGAGCAGCUGUUUUUAGGAGCCAAACAGUGGGAACUGCGGAGCUGAUGCUGUGUGAAGUCAGAAGCAUAAGCUCAAGUGGAGGAGCUUGUUGUCCUCCCAUAGCUCUGUCUUCUGAGCCACAAAUCAGCCCUCGUUCUGCCUCCAGCACAGUCUGAUGAUGCUGCUGCCAGCAGGUUGCAAGUUCCUACAGUAAGCCUCUCGCGAGAAAACAAUGAAAUCAUACUCUGAAAUCCACAAGUCUCAUAGGUUGUCCUGUUCUCUAAUCCUCUUUGACACGCCUGGUGAACAGGAGAAAGUGAGUAUUACAGCUAGUCCACAAUGACACUUGUGCUGACUGACUACCUACUGCCAAACAGAUCUGUAACAUCAAACAGACGUGUUUCAAGUGAUGUCAGUCUGGUUGUCUCUCCUAUCAAGCAGCCAAUUUUCAUGAAAUCAGAAGGAACUUAAUGAUCCUUGAGACUUCUA
Long non-coding RNA from Cygnus olor (mute swan), 1997 nucleotides. RefSeq lists it as uncharacterized. Lineage: Eukaryota; Metazoa; Chordata; Aves; Anseriformes; Anatidae. The record is from RefSeq and is a predicted model, not a curated record. The transcript is spliced from 3 exons.